RNAcentral lists this long non-coding RNA (366 nucleotides) under Mytilus galloprovincialis (Mediterranean mussel). The record is from RNAcentral. Lineage: Eukaryota; Metazoa; Mollusca; Bivalvia; Mytilida; Mytilidae.
UUCUUUUGCAGACAUUGAUUAUAAUUUAUGUUACAAUUAAAAAGUAAUUCGAAUGAUGUUAUUGUUCUUUCCACCAAUUUGUCGCAACACAGUUUCCAUAGUUUCAACCAAACAAACAAAAUGUCGAAUUUAUAAUGCAGUUUAUUUCAAAAGACCAGUAUCAGCACAUUAAAAUCCGGCCCAGCGUGUAUGUCAAGUACAGAUCAGGAUAGCUUCUCAUAUUACAUUGAUAUUUUCUCGUCCUGAAUAUACAUAUAACUAGUAUUUACAGCUGGACGUUGUGUAAUAUUCCAUUAUAAUCAUCAUCAAAAGGCUAGUAUCAAAUAAUUCAAAAUUUCCGUCCAAUUACGAAAUGCUUUUAUCAAA